GUCGUAGGUGAACCUGCGGAAGGAUCAUUACCGAGUGCGGGUUCCAACGAGCCCAACCUCCCACCCGUGUUUACCAUGACCGCGUUGCCUCGGCGGGCCCACUGGGGCCUGGCCCCGGUCGCCGGGGGGCUUCUGCCCCCGGGUCCGCGCCCGCCGAAGCGCCCUGGAACCCUGUCUGAAUAGUGAGUCUGAGUCUAUGAUUAAAUCAUUAAAACUUUCAACAACGGAUCUCUUGGUUCCGGCAUCGAUGAAGAACGCAGCGAAAUGCGAUAAGUAAUGUGAAUUGCAGAAUUCCGUGAAUCAUCGAAUCUUUGAACGCACAUUGCGCCCCCUGGCAUUCCGGGGGGCAUGCCUGUCCGAGCGUCAUUUCUGCCCUCCAGCCCGGCUGGGUGUUGGGUGUUGUCCCCCCGGGGACACGCCCCAAAGGCAGUGGCGGCGCCGCGUCGGGUCCUCGAGCGUAUGGGGCUUUGUCACCCGCUCGGGACGGACUCGUCGGCGCUGGUCUUCCUCCAGGCGACCCUUCGGGGCCCGUCUACCUUCGGUUGACCUCGGAUCAGGUAGGGUUACCCGCUGAACUUAAGCAUAUC
Molecule: ribosomal RNA, 587 nt
Filed under: Talaromyces rugulosus
Lineage: Eukaryota; Fungi; Ascomycota; Eurotiomycetes; Eurotiales; Trichocomaceae
Description: eukaryotic LSU rRNA
Rfam family: 5.8S ribosomal RNA (bases 213-366)
Source: RNAcentral